RNAcentral lists this ribosomal RNA (437 nucleotides) under uncultured bacterium. RNAcentral's name for it is "bacterial SSU rRNA". It matches the Rfam family "Bacterial small subunit ribosomal RNA", at positions 917 to 1350 of the family's 1533-position model. The record is from RNAcentral.
GGGCUCACACAAGCGGUGGAGGAUGUGGCUUAAUUCGAGGCUACGCGAAGAACCUUACCUAGGCUUAACAUGUUUGGGAAUCUCUAUGAAAGUAGAGAGUGCCUUUCGGGGAACCCUUACGUAGGUGCUGCAUGGCUGUCGUCAGCUCGUGUCGUGAGAUGUCGGGUUAAGUCCCUUAACGAGCGAAACCCUUGUCCCUAGUUGCCAGCGAGUUAUGUCGGGGACUCUAGGGAGACUGCCGGUGUUAAACCGGAGGAAGGUGGGGAUGACGUCAAGUCCUCAUGGCCUUUAUGCCUAGGGCUGCACACGUCCUACAAUGCAACAGACAAAGGGAUGCGAAAUCGCGAGAUCAAGCAAAUCCCAAAAACUGUUGCCCAGUUCGGAUUGCAGGCUGAAAUUCGCCUGCAUGAAGCCGGAAUCGCUAGUAAUCGCGGGUC